UCCGAGUUGACCCCGGCAGUCUCCUACGAGUCCCCGCCAUUACGCGCUGGCAACAUAGAAUAAGGGUUGCGCUCGUUGCGGCACUUAAGCCAACACCUCACGGCACGAGCUGACGACAGCCAUGCAGCACCUGUGCUAGCCCCUUACGGACACGGGCUUUCACCCGCUUUAACUAGCAUGUCAAACCCAGGUAAGGUUCUUCGCGUUGCAUCGAAUUAAGCCACAUGCUCCGCCGCAUGUGCGGGUCCCCGUCAAUUCCUUUGAGUUUUAGCCUUGCGGCCGUACUCCCCAGGCGGCGGACUUAAUGCGUUAGCUUCGGCACAGACAGCUUGACGCCGCCCACACCUAGUCCGCACCGUUUACGGCCAGGACUAC
This 375-nucleotide unclassified non-coding RNA is filed under the name uncultured Actinomycetes bacterium. RNAcentral describes it as "uncultured actinobacterium contains 16S-23S intergenic spacer region". Lineage: Bacteria; Bacillati; Actinomycetota; Actinomycetes. The record is from RNAcentral.